CCUUUCAGGUGGGGGAACAACAGUUAGGAAACGACUGACUAAUACCGCAUAAUACUUUCGAGCGGCAUUCGUUUGAAAGUCAAAGAUUUAUUGCUGAAAGAUGGCCUCGCGUCUGAUUAGCUAGUUGGUGAGGUAACGGCCCACCAAGGCGACGAUCAGUAGCCGGUCUGAGAGGAUGAACGGCCACAUUGGGACUGAGAUACGGCCCAGACUCCUACGGGGAGGCAGCGGGUGGGGAAUAUUGGGCAAGUGGGGGAAACCCUGACCCAGCAACGCCGCGUGAAGGAAGAAGGCUUUCGGGUUGUAAACUUCUUUUACCAGGGACGAAGAAAGUGACGGUACCUGGAGAAAAAGCCACGGCUAACUACGUG
RNAcentral lists this ribosomal RNA (371 nucleotides) under uncultured bacterium. RNAcentral's name for it is "bacterial SSU rRNA". It matches the Rfam family "Bacterial small subunit ribosomal RNA", at positions 129 to 507 of the family's 1533-position model. The record is from RNAcentral.